RNAcentral lists this long non-coding RNA (3177 nucleotides) under Daphnia magna. RNAcentral's name for it is "uncharacterized LOC123472525, transcript variant X2". The record is from RNAcentral. Lineage: Eukaryota; Metazoa; Arthropoda; Branchiopoda; Diplostraca; Daphniidae.
CAACGAGUCCUGAUGUUCGUCCGCCUGCUGUGUAAUAAUCAUACCAGCUGACAUCGUUCUGGGCGUAAGCCAGCAGUGGCAGAAGACACGUCUAGAAAGCAUGUUGUCAAAUGUAAACAUCCUGUAUCAACUCUGAAAUACAAAAACAUUUCUCUACAGAGCAACUUGUAUGAAGAAUACUGCUGAUAUCGAAACGUUGAUUUCAAGACGCGGCGUCAUGGUUUACGGUUGAAUUGAUGGACCUUAAAGUAUUAAAAAAGAAAUAUUGUAUUAUUAAAUCAUUCAGAUAAUUGUAAAUUUCAAAAACUGAGAACGCAUUUGUAUCAAAUACAGGACAAGAAUCCAAGACGGCACAUAUCUUGGCAAACAUCUCCCGUAGAUGUACACGGGCAAAUGAUACUUGUGCUAUCUUUAGUGAUUUAGAAGCUUGAGACCAAACUGUACCUUAUUACCACAUAACUUACCUAAAUCUGGCUGAUCUGUGAACGCGAUAGUCGUCACGGGAUCGAACAGGGACCAAACCAGAAUCUGCAAGGAAAAACAAGCUCAGUUGAGAUCAUGCCAGUCCUGAAAGUACGGAAAAAGCAAAUAGAACUUACGGUAUUGUCGCCACGGCUCAACAAUGGAGCCGGAAUGUAAAGAGUUUUCGUGGGACCAAUGCCCGAAUAACGACCGACAUUAAAACCAUUGACAAAGACGACACCUCGGUUACCAUCACCCCAUCCGGUAGUCGUAAUGUACGUGUCAGUUGGAUCAUCAGCAAUCGUCAAAGUUGACUUGGUAAGUGUAGGACAAAUGACAGUCGUUGGUGGAGCUGGAGAGGCAUUCCAAUUUGUCAAUCUAUUAAAAUAAUCCUUUACUAAGCACGAUAUGUAAGAAAUUUAAAAACCAACUGCUAUUCGACUUACCCGCGUACCCAAGCUGAUGUAAAUUCUAAAGGAAAGAUUGUCCAUCCAACCACUUCUUCGUCGUCUAGCAAAACAGGUCCCUCUGGCAAACCUCGUUUCUGAGCGAAGUAGCUUGGUGGGCCAAAAUUAUUCCUGUAGAUGGAAUCAUAAAGGAGAUUACAAUGACUCUUCGAGAAAUUAUUCGAUAUUUUUAUUUAUUUAUUUUUUUUUACCUUGCCAUGUUUUCCACCAGCAAAUCUACUACAUAGUUGGUGUCUCCUUUAUCAGCGUUGAAGUCGAAUGUUCGAUUCCUAAAUCGAAAUAUCAGUUUGGAAUUAAUCUGUCAUAUCGCCUUUAUUAAAUUAAGUUACUCUAGUGCCCAAAAGCCGAAAUCAUUCAGCUGAAGGUCGUUUUUCCAAUCAGGUGUCAAACGUUGCUGGUCCAGCAGGAAAACAGCCAAAUCGCGGACGUGACCAACAGUUUGGAUGGUAUGUGCACCACCUGUCAAGCUGGCAGUGUUUCGAUAUAAAAUAUAUCCGUAACUCUGGCCAUUGCCGUUGUUAAUUGGAAGAUCUUCCAUGGCCAGCAAAUUGUCCGAUUGGAUCACCAAGUUACUCGGCUACACACCGUUGGUAAGAUUUUACUUCCCAUUUAAGUUCAGUUUGAUUAAAGUAUUACCAACUGAAGGAGAAGAUCAUCUAGCGUUAGAUGUUCUGUUGCUUGAAUGGCGGGAUAAACAGUUUUAACGCUUUCGGCUGGCAUAGCGGGCAUAUAGAUGUUGGGAAUUCUAUUGAAUCGAGCAAUGAGAUCUUUGGCAGCGUAGUAUUUGUCAGUGUAAUCGCCUGCUUCGGACAGAGGUGCAUCGUAAUCUGUAAAAUGUUCAAUUCAUUGCGCCGUUCAAAAAGAAUUUAAGAAAAAUACGAGAGCUCUGUAAUACGCACCAUAGCUGCUAACAUCGGGGGCGUAGAAAGGAAAGACAGGGAGCGUAUUGGCUCCGUUCAUGAACCCGAAACUUGUUCCGCCGAUAAACAUGUAAAAAUUGACUGAACUGUUUCGAGUGAAAAUCCGUUCCAGCGUGUAGGAAAACUCUGGUUUCAACAACAAGUUAUAAUUGUAAACUUAUUAAUUUUUUAAAACUAUAAUUGGUUUACCUUCUACAGAUGAGCCUCCGUGGUAACCUUUCCCCCAGUGGUCAAACUAAAUGAAUGGAGCGAUUAGUGAAGAAUAUUCAUUAUGCACAAGCACAACUGAAGGUAAAAUCAACUAACCCAUCCACUCCAGAAUUCGGCAACCAUGUACGGUUUGUCCGGUUGCAACAAGUCGAGCGCGUCAAAUUCGGGAUCAGCAUCUUUUUGGAAAUUGGCUGUCUGUAACUCUCCGGGAACUGCCCCUAAAUCGGCAUUCUUCGUAGGUGUGUCGGACGUGAAAAACAUCUCUCUCGCUCCCAGUUCAAUCAUCUUAUCUCGCAGGUGAAUCAAAUAUUGCGUGUCACGCGGUUCGUCCCCUACUCCAAAGGCUCCGUAUUCGUUCUCCACCUGAUAAGAAAAAUGUGAAGGGCUUUGAGUACCCAAUUAAUCGAUAUAAACUUGCUAGUCGCUUACUUGAAUAGCAAUAAUGGGUCCAUCUCCUCGUUGAAAUUGCAAGUCGACUACGCGUCGGAACACUUCUGUCAAGUAGGCAUCUGCCACCUCCAAGAAUCCGGGGUAGGAACUGCGAACUUUCAUUUCGGGAUCACGCAACAACCAGCUGUAGAGAGCCCAAGUGUUAUAGGAAACUAAUAAGAUUUGUGUUACCAGGAAUUUGUUGAAAAUUACCUUGGCAAUCCGCCGAAGUCCCAUUCAGAGCAGAUGAAAGGACCUGGUCGCAAAAUGACGAAUAGGUCCUCCUCUUGAGCCAUUUCGACAAAAGCGGUCACAUUAAGAAAAUAGGACAUGUCAUUUUGGCCUUCGCUGAAAUCAUAUUCUCCACGACGUGGCUCGUGAAGGUUCCACGGCAUGUACCUAUAAUUGCCUUGACAUUUACAGGAAUUUUCAUUUGUCUUAAAAAAUUAACAUACGUUUCAACGGUGUUGGCCCCGGUGGCUCGUAGUUUCUUCAGUCGGUCACGCCAUUGAGUUGGAUGAAUCCGAAAAUAAUGAACAGCUCCACUGAUGAUGUGAAAUGGUUUACCAUUCAGCAGAAAUCCAUCUUUACUGGCAGCAACGAGUCCUGAUGUUCGUCCGCCUGCUGUGUAAUAAUCAUUCCAGGUGAUAUCGUUUUGCGCCCAAGCGAGGAGCGGCAGAAGACAAAUC